This 445-nucleotide long non-coding RNA is filed under the name Monodelphis domestica (gray short-tailed opossum). RNAcentral's name for it is "lncRNA (ENSMODG00000051351.1)". Lineage: Eukaryota; Metazoa; Chordata; Mammalia; Didelphimorphia; Didelphidae. The record is from RNAcentral.
AUGACUCAACCAAGUCCAACCAGACCUGCAGAGAGGAUCCCAGGUGCCAAGUGGUGCCUUGCUUUUCAGCCAAGGACAAGGAAAUUACUCCCUUUGAUCUUGGCCUCUAUGAGAAGGAAAUUCCUGGCCUUCAGCCCUGUGGCAUCACAGUACAGGCAACAGCAAUAUGAGAAAAUGAAGUGAAAUGGAAGGAAGCCAUUCAUCCUGUUCUCUGUCACUGAAUUCCCAUAGCAAGAGGAACGAUGGGAUGGCUGAAAUCAGACCGAAGAAGUUGUAAAGCAUUUGGAUUAGAAUGAGUUGGACAAUUUGAGCAAAGUGAUUAUCUUCUUAAAGUUUAAAAUAAUACUUCUGUUCUCUCACACCACAAUGGAGGAGCCCUAGGGAGCUUCUUUGACCAAACUAAUGACACUGAUAAAUGAAGGGGGUAUCCUGUCAAGCUUGUCUG